Rosa rugosa (rugosa rose) is the source of this 2051-nucleotide RNA transcript. RefSeq lists it as uncharacterized. Lineage: Eukaryota; Viridiplantae; Streptophyta; Magnoliopsida; Rosales; Rosaceae. The transcript has 10 exons. The record is from RefSeq and is a predicted model, not a curated record.
CACCAAACCCGAUAAGCGCUCUUACUCCUUGCAAAUUAAACAGCCCCGUUUACUCCCUCCAACCAACAACCCAUAUACUCGAAAUCAAACCCUAGCCCCUCUCUCUCGCUGUGCCCCCCCCUCUCAUUUCACUCCUCGCUCUCUGCGAUUCUCUAAGUCGCCGAGCUCUCUCAGUCGUGAAACCACCCCCCUUCUCUCUCCUUCCCCCUCUCUCCUCCGCGAAAUCCCUCUCUCUCGUGAAAGCUCUCUCAGUCUCUCGAUCUGAAACCAUGACCUUCGUCUCAAUCCAUCGCAUAAAACUAUGGCCUUCGUCGUUUCAGCCGUCAAGCAAGAAAUCCCCGAACUCUCCCGUCGUUUCAUCCUAAUUCUCCGACUUAUUCGACGGAUGCAUGAUGGCCAUGGAGACGGUACCGACUUUAGGAGAGUUCGCGCCGGAGUCGAGGUCAGUGAUGAAUUUUGUUCAAAUUGCAGACUAAGAAAUGGUGAAUUUCUAAGAAAAGUUGUCCUCUCAGUCCUCCCUCUCUCAAUUCUCUCUCACAAACCCUAAAGCGGCCGAUUUGGACCUCUCUCUCGCCGACAAAAGAACGCUGGGCAAAGCAAUCAAUGGCCGCCUUGCUUGUGUGGGUGGAUUGUAUUGCUUGGUAAAUGCUUUAUCAUUUCUGCUUCUAAGAGAAUGAAGAAGGCUGGAUUGGUCGAAAAAAAUAUGGUGAGCUGGAAGUAUGUUUCUAGAUUGCAGUACUGCCAAUAGCAAAAGUUUAUACAAUAUAUUCUUCGUGUUUUCUUAUAGCUUCGCCGGCACAUGGAAGGAAGCUGUUCACAGGGCUUGUUUUCUCACUUUUGCUUCCAUGUUUGAUAUACUCUCAACUUGGACAAGCGAUCACUUGGGAGAAAAUUCUCAAGUGGUAAGAGACAAUGAUUUGGAGCUUCUUUUGAGGAUUACCAGGCUAUGGUGGCACAGCUUGAACACCAAUUUCUACUCAGAAGACUGUCCUUAGGCUGGUGGUAUUACUGUCAAGUUAAAAGGAAUUGAAUUGGCAAAGUAUAUCCUGGAGUAUGCUCAGAACUUGGAGAAAAUGGUCAUAUUUCAUUUAUUCAAGGCCUGUUACAAUGUUAUGCUUUAAUACGAUUAUUCUAUGUUCAUAGACAAUUGUUUUCUGCUUUUCGGCAGGGGAAAAGUCGUCUUGAGGCACAUGAACAACUUUGAGAACCAAGAGACAUGGAGGUAAAUGCUUUUUGCAUUCUGCGCAUUACCACUAUAAUUAGUAAAGGGGGAGAGGCUGAAAAGCUUGUUCGGACACUUUUCAUGGCUGCUAUAUCCUAUCUAGACAGCCAUCUGUAAUUUUCACGGAUGAGUCAUUACUCAGUUGAUCCAUGCAUAGAAAGCAGUACCGGAAUCAGCGGCUUUCAGUACCAGUCCCAGUAGUAUCCUUGGUUGCCUUGAGGCUUUGCUUUCAGCAUACGAGCUAUGAGCUUAGAUCUCCAUAGUACUUGCCUCUUGAUCCUCUCAGUUCUUGAAUCCUUGAUCUCGAGCUCAGAUUCGGAAAAACUAGGGCCUUGUGUACAAUGAAGGAAUUUGAUCUCAUUCCUCAUGAUCCUAAAUCUGUAGAGUAUAAUGCAAUUGGAAAAUGCUCUCAAUCAGAAAAUGCUUAAGUUACUUGGUGUUUCUUCAAUGUUGCUGGUUGCCUCGGUUAUUCCUAGUCCUUUUUCAUAUGACACACAGACUAUGCCGGUAUAUGAGAGUGAGGACUGGGAAGGAUGCCUCCACUGCAGUAAUAAUCCAAAGCUCAAGAAGCAACAUAAAUGAGUUGGAGUGGGAUCUUAGAGCUCGAGAAGCAAGUACUAUGGAUUACCUCCUUUCAGCAUGUGAGCUACCAAGUUUGAUUCAUGGGUCUAGCUAGCAGCUAGGAAUAGCUAGGGAUGCUUUUGAUUCAUGUGUAGGUAGCAACUAGGAAUGCUUUCUUGUUUGGUAUAUUAUCUAGUAACUUGAAUGUUUGGAUGUUUGAAAAAUGCUACUUGAAUGAUAUGGAUUAGAGUGUGGUUUUAUAUGGUAA